GACGAACCGUGCGAACGUUGUUCGGAAUCACUGGGCUUAAAGGGUGCGUAGGCGGGCUCGAAAGUCAGGGGUGAAAUCCCACGGCUCAACCGUGGAAGGGCCUUUGAUACUACGAGUCUCGAGGGAGGUAGGGGCGUGCGGAACUUCCGGUGGAGCGGUGAAAUGCGUAGAUAUCGGAAGGAACACCGGUGGCGGAAGCGGCGCGCUGGACCUCAACUGACGCUGAGGCGCGAAAGCGUGGGGAGCAAACGGG
Molecule: ribosomal RNA, 253 nt
Filed under: uncultured prokaryote
Description: partial 16S ribosomal RNA
Rfam family: Bacterial small subunit ribosomal RNA
Source: RNAcentral